Hydra vulgaris (swiftwater hydra) is the source of this 332-nucleotide non-coding RNA. NCBI's taxonomy places the organism in Eukaryota, Metazoa, Cnidaria, Hydrozoa, Anthoathecata, Hydridae. The record is from RefSeq and is a predicted model, not a curated record.
UUAAAAAGCAAUUUACAUGAGGUACAUAUAUAUACAUGCUCGCUGCAUUGUAAUAUGAAUAAAUCAUUUUCUUGAACAAACUAAUUGAUAUCUACCAUAAAUGAAACGCGACAACCAGUAAAUGCAGCACAUCUACCAGUAAAAGCAACACAUCUAAACAAUAGGAACUAGACUUCAAAUUAAACUAUAAAAACUUUACCAAUAAUUAUCAAAAUGCUUGUUUACUCAAACGCUUUUUCUCCUUCAACAUGACCUUACAAAGUAAUGUUUAUAAUGUGAUGCUUUUAUGUAAACUUAUAUAUUUGUUUUUAUGUACGUUUUAUGUGAUGUGU